GUUAGAGUCUUAAUCGGCAUAAAUACUAUGAACCGUGUCAGAUCUGGAAGGAAGCAGCACUAAGUAGUCUUUUUAUGGGUGUGUUAAGGUGCUCUUUCUC
This 100-nucleotide signal recognition particle RNA is filed under the name Fusobacteriaceae bacterium. RNAcentral describes it as "signal recognition particle sRNA small type". It matches the Rfam family "Bacterial small signal recognition particle RNA". From Rfam's summary of the family: The signal recognition particle (SRP) is a universally conserved ribonucleoprotein involved in the co-translational targeting of proteins to membranes. Archaeal SRP consists of a 7S RNA and homologues of the eukaryotic SRP19 and SRP54 proteins. In most bacteria, the SRP consists of a 4.5S RNA and the Ffh protein (a homologue of the eukaryotic SRP54 protein). Lineage: Bacteria; Fusobacteriati; Fusobacteriota; Fusobacteriia; Fusobacteriales; Fusobacteriaceae. The record is from RNAcentral.